RNAcentral lists this microRNA (22 nucleotides) under Branchiostoma floridae (Florida lancelet). Its description in RNAcentral is "bfl-miR-2076-5p". RNAcentral also lists the same sequence under 2 other names. Lineage: Eukaryota; Metazoa; Chordata; Leptocardii; Amphioxiformes; Branchiostomatidae. The record is from miRBase by way of RNAcentral.
AAUUGCACUAGAGUGAUUUGUU